Anguilla rostrata (American eel) is the source of this 614-nucleotide long non-coding RNA. RefSeq lists it as uncharacterized. The transcript is spliced from 3 exons. The record is from RefSeq and is a predicted model, not a curated record. Lineage: Eukaryota; Metazoa; Chordata; Actinopteri; Anguilliformes; Anguillidae.
UACUCUGAAAUAAACAGUAUUGUAUUUUUCAAUCACGGUGCGCCUUGCUACUACUUAUUAGUUAACAUUACAGACUAGAAGUCCGGAUCAGCGAUAAAUAAAAGGCGUGGCAUUAAGCGAUGGCGGCACUACUAGGUUUUUCUCUGGGACUUCUUGCUUGGGGUGCUCCUGCUGGUUCCCGAGCCCCCACGCCUGCUGUCCCGUGGGGGAGUGGCGGAAAGGGCACUGGACACCCUGAUCUGCAAUCCCAGGUCCACCAUCUUUACACGGGGGGACUGCUGCCCGGAAGUCCUGGGACCACCACUGAAGAGAGACACAGGCGCACACACGCACCACAGACGUAACAUGGACUGAGCAGCAUGGAAAUUACUUUCACGCCUACUGAGAUGUGGCGCUACCAGCAGAGCUUAUGAGACUGGGUGGUUUGGACACCCGUGGCGGAGGAGAGUCAGCCCUGAUGCUGUUGCUGCAUGAAGACCUAGCAGACCUGACGCACACAAACACAAAGAUGUCACAGAGGUCCAAGAUGCAGGAGAUAUUUUCCUCCUUAUAUCAAAUGUAUACAAAUUUGAGGCUUUUCAUAUUUAUUUUUAAUUAAACUAAAGGACUAAUUU